Molecule: ribosomal RNA, 393 nt
Filed under: uncultured bacterium
Lineage: Bacteria
Description: partial 16S ribosomal RNA
Rfam family: Bacterial small subunit ribosomal RNA
Source: RNAcentral
AUACGGAGGAUCCAAGCGUUAUCCGGAUUUAUUGGGUUUAAAGGGUGCGUAGGCGGACUGGUAAGUCAGCUGUGAAAGUUUGCGGCUUAACCGUAAAAUUGCAGUUGAUACUGUCAGUCUUGAGUGUGCAUGAGGUGGGCGGAAUUUGUGGUGUAGCGGUGAAAUGCUUAGAUAUCACGAGGAACUCCAAUUGCGAAGGCAGCUCACUGGGGCAUAACUGACGCUGAUGCACGAAGGUGUGGGUAUCAAACAGGAUUAGAUACCCUGGUAGUCCACACAGUAAACUAUGAAUACUCGCUGUUUGCGAUAUACAGUAAGCGGCCAAGCGAAAGCGUUAAGUAUUCCACCUGGGGAGUACGCCGGCAACGGUGAAACUUAAAGGAAUUGACGGGG